GAUGCAUCAUCAAUUCAUCAUCUUCUCCAAGCCUGCUGGCUCCAGAGCUCACACAGUCUUCGACAGAGGGGAAAGAUCAAGAUGGAGGCGGCGAUCUCCACCAAUCCGUCGAGCAAGAGGACCGCCCUGGUCACCGGAGGGAACAAAGGGGUCGGGCUGGAGACGUGCAGGCAGCUCGCGUCCAAGGGGCUCAGGGUCGUGCUGACGGCUAGGAACGAGGCCAGGGGGCUGGAGGCGGUCGAAGGCGUCAGGCGCUCCGGUGCUGGCGGCCAAGCCGAUGUAGUCUUCCAUCAGUUGGAUGUCACCGAUCCUGACAGCGUCACCCGGCUGGCGGAUUUCGUCAGGGAUCAGUUCGGCAAGCUCGAUAUCCUGAUAAACAAUGCAGGCAUUUCAGGCGUUGAUCGAGAUCCAGUUCUGGUUGCGAAAGUUAAAGAACAGGUUGAAAGUAUGGAUGUAGACCAGAGAGUUCAAUGGAUGAAAGAAAAUUCCAAGGAGACAUAUGAGGAAGCAAAAGAAUGCAUGAGAACAAACUACUAUGGGGCAAAGCUUGUCACAGAGGCACUACUUCCUCUUCUUCAGUUGUCCUCCUCUGGGAGAAUUGUCAAUGUCUCAUCAGGCUUUUCACUGCUAAGAAACUUCAACAGUGAAGAACUUAAGAAUGAGUUUAAUGACGUCGACAAUCUUACUGAGAAGAGGCUAGAAGAGCUCUUGGAUUCAUUCCUAGAAGAUUUCAAGGCCAAUUUGAUAGAGGCACAUGGGUGGCCGACCGGUGGCUCGUCAGCGUACAAGGUCGCCAAAGCUGCCCUCAAUGCUUACACAAGGAUUCUCGCCAAGAAGUACCCUAGGAUGCGCAUCAACUGUUUAACGCCUGGUUAUGUGAAGAGCGACAUGUCGAUGCACAUGGGAGUGUUGACGCCCGAGGAGGGCGCUAGCAAUCCGGUGAAAGUCGCUCUCUUGCCCGACGAUGGCCCGACGGGAAUCUCAUCGACUGCGGUUGCUAGGGUCUCCGUGGUCACCGGAGGGAACAAAGGGAUCGGCUUCGAGGUGUGCCGGCAGCUGGCCAGCGGCGGCAUCACGGUCGUCUUGACGGCCCGGGACGAGACGAGGGGCGGGGAUGCCGUGGAGAGGCUCAACGCGCUGGGGCUCUCCCAGGUCGUCUUCCAUCGGCUGGAGAUCACGGAAGCUUCGAGCGCUGCUGCACUGGCUGGUUUUCUCAAGACCCGCUUUGGCAAGCUAGACAUUCUGGCAAGUUUGGAACACCGGUGAUGGAUGGAUGGAUGGAUGUGCUCGGUUUAUUUGCAGGUGAAUAAUGCCGCAGUUGGUGGGGUUGAGUACGGCCAAGAGCUCGACGCCAACGAGGAAAAGUUCGAUGGCCUGGAUUUCCACCAGAGAGUUGAAUGGAUGCUGAAGAACGCCCGGGAGCCCAUCGACAGUGCGAAGAACAGCGUGCAGACCAACUACUACGGCACGAAGCGUGUAACCGAGGCCCUGCUCCCUCUGCUGCGAUCUUCCCCCGAUGGAAGAAUAGUGAACGUCUCCUCCAGUUAUGGACUGCUAAGACAUAUCGGCAGCGAGGAGGUGCGGCAGGAGCUCAACGACGUCGAUGGCCUGACAGAGGAGAGGCUGGACGAGCUGCUGGAGAAGUUCAUGGAAGACUUCGAGUCCGGCGCGCUGGAGCCGCACGGGUGGCCCGGGAAGUUCUCCGCGUACAAGGUGGCCAAGGCCGCCAUGAACGCCUACUCGAGGAUCCUGGCGAGGAGGCACCCCGAGCUGCGCGUCAACUGCGCGCACCCAGGCUUCGUCAAGACCGACAUGAGCAUGGGGUCCGGGGUCCUGACGCCGGAGGAGGGCGCACGCAGCUUGGUGAAGGUGGCGCUGCUGCCUGACGGCGGGCCGACCGGCGCGUACUUCGCGCAGGGCGAGGAGGCGCCGUUCGUGUGAGAUAGCCGCGGUACGUGCGUGCCUGCGUGUGUGUUGCGCGCAAAAAUGCUACAAGUACGGACGUUUACAGGCUAAUUACGGGCUCCUUCCAUCUAAUUAAACCAGACCCCCCUGAUUUCAGGUGGGUGGGACCCAAACCUACCCCUUAGUCCAAUCACUGUUUGACACAUUGAGUCCACCCCCGUAUUAUCCUGUACAGUUUCGUCGAUGUAGCAUUGCUGGUGUUGCGCGGCUCGGUGCGGUACGGGUACUAUCAGGUUUACGGUGUUACAUGCUAGCUUCAAAUUGCGAAUAACGGAAAAUAUAUACGGACAUGAUCAAGUGCGAACGUCAGUUUUU
RNA transcript from Hordeum vulgare subsp. vulgare (domesticated barley), 2280 nucleotides. RefSeq lists it as uncharacterized. The record is from RefSeq and is a predicted model, not a curated record. The transcript is spliced from 9 exons. Lineage: Eukaryota; Viridiplantae; Streptophyta; Magnoliopsida; Poales; Poaceae.